UACUACUGUUUGACUUCUAAAAUGAUAUACAUGGAUAUGCUUAUUUCUCUUGUGUUUUCCUUUUAUUAAAAAAAAAGUUUAUUUUUUAAUUUUAAAGGUGCAUGUUAGGGCCAGGCACAGUGGUGCAUGCCUGUAAUUUCAGCGGCUCAGGAGGCUAGGGCAGGAGGAUCACAAGUUCAAAGCCAGCCUCAGCAAAAAGCAAGGCACUAAGCAAUUCAGUGAAACCCUGUCUCUAAAUAAUAAUACAAAAUAGGGCUGGGAAUAUGGCUCAGUGGUUGAGUGCCCCUGAGUUCAAUCCCUAGUACAAAAAAAAAAAAAUGUUGAUAUUGGUGCUGGGGUUGUGGCUCUGUGGUAGAGAGCUUCCCUAAUGUGUGAAGCACUAGGUUUGAUCCUCAGCAUCACAUAAAAAUAAAUAAAAUAAAGGUAUUAUGUCUAUCUGCACUAAAAAAAAAAAAAAAAUUUUUUAAAAAAGUGAAUGUUGUUCAAAGUUUUAUUUUGGGGUUAAGGGUAUAACUCAGCGGCAGAGUACUUGCCUAACAUAUGUAAGGCCCUGAGUUCCAUCACCAGCACAGCAAAAAUAAUAAUGAUGAUUGUUGUUGUUGCUGUUGUUUCUGGGCCUGAUCUGGUGAGAUUUCAAACCAGUAGUAGGACUCACGAAUCUGAACUUAACUAGAACCUCGAGAAAUUUGGAAGCAAAUGGUCCAUGGAUGAUACUUUG
RNAcentral lists this long non-coding RNA (718 nucleotides) under Marmota monax (woodchuck). Lineage: Eukaryota; Metazoa; Chordata; Mammalia; Rodentia; Sciuridae. The record is from RNAcentral.